GGAACUUAGAAGUUUCAAAUGACCCUCCAACACUAUGUAGACUGAGGAGCCUCUGACCAACUCAGCUUCUGAAAAAAAUCCAAACCUGUCCCUGCAGUUUCGGCUGUGCUGUUUCCGGAGUCAAGUAUUGAGGUUGAAGGAGGCUGAUUAGGCCUGGUCUGUGGCAGAAUGGUGCCCAAGCAGGGACCUCUGGACAGGACUGUCACCCUGAAUUGGGAGGCUCCUGGCACUUUGCCCUUCUGCUUGUUGACAUCCCCUGAAGGAGGAGUUCUCAGGACACAUCAGGUGAAUUCUAGCCAUAACAUCAGGCUCCAAAGAGUUUUCUAGCUAAUAAUGUCCACUAUUGAAGACGUUUCGUUCUUGUCUAUUUGCUGGAUGCCUGGGUUAGCAGAAGCUUGUCUAAGGAGUCACUGCCUGUGUUGAAGUGGGCUCUGCAGUGAAAUAGCUGUUGGGAAGUUACCCAAGCUCCUCUGCCUGGAGUCAUGGCCUCAGCCAUGGCCUUGUGGAUAUUUUCUAGCUCACAUAAACAAUCCUGAGAGAACAUUCGUGGUCGUAACAGCAAGAAAGUUUAUGGGAAAAGAGGACACUGUGACUGUUGGUUCCAGGAGCUGAAGAUUGCCACCUGACCUUCAGAGAGCCCCCAGUCUCUCCCACUCCCCACCCCCCAUCCCUUGGAGCCUCCUCUUGCUUAUGCUUAUAUUGCCACUCCUGAAUAAAGUUUUCAGAGCUUGAUCAGUA
RNAcentral lists this long non-coding RNA (738 nucleotides) under Mus musculus (house mouse). Its description in RNAcentral is "predicted gene, 26740". The record is from RNAcentral. Lineage: Eukaryota; Metazoa; Chordata; Mammalia; Rodentia; Muridae.